Callithrix jacchus (white-tufted-ear marmoset) is the source of this 104-nucleotide small nucleolar RNA. The record is from Ensembl. Lineage: Eukaryota; Metazoa; Chordata; Mammalia; Primates; Cebidae.
AGCCUUUUGUAGUUCCUGAGCAUGAUGAUUGGGUGUUCACACACAUGUGUGAGAUGUGCCACCUUUGACCGUUGUUACAGUGUCAGCGUAUUACCUGUCUGACG